RNAcentral lists this long non-coding RNA (1630 nucleotides) under Oncorhynchus mykiss (rainbow trout). RNAcentral's name for it is "lncRNA (ENSOMYG00000053034.1)". Lineage: Eukaryota; Metazoa; Chordata; Actinopteri; Salmoniformes; Salmonidae. The record is from RNAcentral.
UGUUUCUAUGCUCCUUCGGGGACAAUAAAGAUAUAUUGAAUUUAAAUUAAUUUAAUUUAAUGAGAGCUGUCUGUGUGGAUGAAGUAGAUUUAAUAGAUAUAUUCUGAGCUUUGUGCUGAGAAACUUGAAUUGAGAAACGGCAGUAUGAAAGUGGACAGUUUAUUACCAAGACGUCUGUGUCAUUGAGUGAAUAGGAUGGGCUGCAGUACAGUACAAUGAUAUAUUUCAAUAGAAAACCUUCAUGAAAGGGUUGGAUUUCACUGAGCCCAAGUCCAACAUAAUAACACUCCUCUCAUUCUCUUUCUCCUAUUCAACAUUCUCUUUCUCCUAUUCAACAUUCUCUUUCUCCUGGCUUGAUUGACACUUUAACCUCAUUCUGAAUGUGUAAAAUGCUAUAGCUUAGAUCAUUUUUCCCCCCCACAAUAGACGUUUGAAUAAUGUAAUUCCUUCAUAUGACCUGGUCUGUUACUCCAGAAAGGAAACCUGCCAGAAGGAAAUGAUCAGGGGUGUGAUAAUGCUGUGUCAACAUGUUUCACUGCUAGGGUGUGAUAAUGCUGUGUCAACAUGUUUCACCACAGGGGGGGGGGGUAAUGCUGUGUCACCAUGUUUCACUGCUAGGGUGUGAUAAUGCUGUGUCAACAUGUUUCACCACUAGGGUGUGAUAAUGCUGUGUCACCAUGUUUCACUACUAGGGUGUGAUAAUGCUGUGUCAACAUGUUUCACUGCUAGGGUGUGAUAAUGCUGUGUCAACAUGUUUCACUGCUAGGGUGUGAUAAUGCUGUGUCACCAUGUUUGACUACUAGGUUGUGAUAAGGCUGUGUCAACAUGUUUCACUGCUAAGGUGUGAUAAUGCUGUGUCAACAUGUUUCACCACUAGGGUGUGAUAAUGCUGUGUCAACAUGUUUCACCACUAGGGGUGUGAUAAUGCUGUGUCAACAUGUUUCACUGCUAGGGUGUGAUAAUGCUGUGUCACCUUUACUUGUCAUUCAUGCUGCCAGUGAUAGGUAACCUGUCCUUGACUUGUCAUUCAUGCUGCCAGUGAUAAGUAAUCUGUCCUUGACUUGUCAUUCAUGCUGCCAGUGAUAGGUAACCUGUCCUUGACUUGUCAUUCAUGCUGCCAGUGAUAAGUAACCUGUCCUUGACUUGUCAUUCAUGCUGCCAGUGAUAGGUAACCUGUCCUUGACUUGUCAUUCAUGCUGCCAGUGAUAAGUAAUCUGUCUUUGACUUGUCAUUCAUGCUGCCAGUGAUAGGUAACCUGUCCUUGACUUGUCAUUCAUGCUGCCAGUGAUAAGUAACCUGUCCUUGACUUGUCAUUCAUGUUGUCAGUGAUAGGUAACCUGUCCUUGACUUGUCAUUCAUGCUGCCAGUGAUAAGUAACCUGUCUUUGACUUGUCAUUCAUGCUGCCAGUGAUAGGUAACCUGUCCUUGACUUGUCAUUCAUGCUGCCAGUGAUAGGUAACCUGUCCUUGACUUGUCAUUCAUGUUGUCAGUGAUAGGUAACCUGUCCUUGACUUGUCAUUCAUGCUGCCAGUGAUAAGUAACCUGUCUUUGACUUGUCAUUCAUGCUGCCAGUGAUAGGUAACCUGUCCUUGACUUGUCAUUCAUGCUGCCAGUGAUAGGUAACCUGUCC